AAAUAUUAUACAUAGGGUCCAUGGACGCAGUCGAAAGUAAAACAUACAUUCAUAUAUCUUGAAAACGAGUCUUUAGCAAAAGAUGAUCAAUCUACACCAGCUCCUACAGUUCCGCGAGUGCUACGGUCCUCUCUACUGGUCACCUGCAAAAGGAUGUGAGGAGUGAGUGAACUAGUUUCACUCAGUGAGCCAGGGUUCCCUAUCUAGCAUAUACAACUACCCGUCAUUCUAAACCAACCCCAAACACAAGCAAGACGGGUAGUUCAACAAUCAAUAUUCAAAUAUUAAAUUUUAAAUGAUUAAGCAGUAAACAAUUAAACCAUAAUAAUCCAAACACUCUUUAUGAGUGUCAUCACAUCAAUCAACCAUAUAUAUACUCCUAGGGCCCAACAGAAUCAUUCUUCCUCCACAUAAGGGACACCGGCAAUCCCUUCACUAUUACACCACACAGGCGUAGGCGCUCGGGAAUCGCCCGGUCACGGUCCUCAAUCGGAAUCGCCGUGCCCCGGUCCUCUAUCGGACUCGCCGGGGGCUGUCACAUCCACAUGUGACACUCGGCCUUGGUGAUCAAGCCAAGUUAAACCGAGCCCACCACUUUCCGGACCACGACCGGCUUAGUGGUACCAUUUGAGGAAGCAAUGACCUGCAAACUACUACUAGAACCACCACGAGGUUCUCAUACAACAGUACCAACACGAGGUACACACUAUAACAACAUAUACUAAUCACACAAUCACAAUAAUCUGGGUGCUUAGACUAGUAUUGCUAUCCACUUAGCCCAGACAUCGUCUCAAGCCUCGGAUCCACAAACUGACACCUAGACCGGUCCGACAAUCCUAGCUCGGAAACCGUCUCCGAUGUCAGGAAUCUGCAUUAAAAACACGUUAACAAACAAUUAACCGUGACUCACAGUGAUUAAGCGAUGUGGCUUGACUUUCUGAUUCCGGAAGCUGACCAAACCCUUUUUAUCCCCUCCAAUCUUCGUCUUGAUUCUGUACCGUUAAUCCCGCAAUCUUGUAACACGUCUUGCUUCUCCAAGCAACUCUCUAAACAGCUCCUUAAAUUAUUUAUUUUCUUUUUCUAUUUCUUUUCUUCUUUUNNNN
This 1103-nucleotide long non-coding RNA is filed under the name Brassica napus (rape). RNAcentral describes it as "long non-coding RNA (BNAP_LNC015043)". The record is from RNAcentral. Lineage: Eukaryota; Viridiplantae; Streptophyta; Magnoliopsida; Brassicales; Brassicaceae.